AAUAUAGGGGGACCACCCUCUAAGCCUAAAUACUCUUCAGUGACCGAUAGUGAACUAGUACCGUGAGGGAAAGGUGAAAAGAACCCCUAUUAGGGGAGUGAAAUAGAACCUGAAACCGCAUGCCUACAAUCAGUCGAAGCUCUUUUUAGAGUGACGGCGUACCUUUUGUAUAAUGGGUCAGUGACUUAAUUUAUUAAGCAAGCUUAAGCCAUCUAGGUGUAGGCGCAGCGAAAGCAAGUCUUAAUAGGGCGAUUAGUUUAAUGAAUUAGACCCGAAAACGAAUGAGCUUACCAUGAGCAGGUUGAAAGUUGGGUAACACCAACCGGAGGACCGAACCAGUUGACGUUGAAAAGUCUUUGGAUGACUUGUGGUAAGGGGUGAAAGGCCAACCAAAUUCGUAGAUAGCUGGUUUUCCGCGAAAACUAUUUAGGUAGUGCGUUGAGUAAAUAGAUGUUUAGAGGUAGAGCACUAAAUGGGCUAGGGGGAAGAGAUUCUUACCAAACCUAAUAAAACUCCGAAUGCUAAACGUUGUUCUUCAGCAGACAGACUGUGGGUGCUAAGGUCCAUGGUCGAGAGGGAAAGAGCCCAGACCACCAGAUAAGGUCCCCAAAUUAUGAUUAAGUGUGAAAGGAUGUGGAAAUUCCUUAACAGCCGGGAGGUUGGCUUAGAAGCAGCCAUCCUUUAAAGAUAGCGUAACAGCUCACCGGUCUAAUAGAGUUUCUGCGCCGAAGAUGUAACGGGGCUAAAAUCAUAUACCGAAUCUGUGGGUUUAUAAAGUUUUCGAACUUUAUAAGCGGUAGCGGAACGUUCUGUAAGCCUGUGAAGGGAUACCCGUGAGGGAUCCUGGAGGUAUCAGAAGUGCGAAUGCUGACAUAAGUAACGAUAAAAGAAGUGAAAAACUUCUUCGCCGAAAAUCCAAGGGUUUCUGCGCAAGGUUAAUCCGCGCAGAGUUAGUCGGCACCUAAGGCGAGGGCGAAAGCCGUAGUCGAUGGAAAUAAGGUUAAUAUUCCUUAACCAGAUGGUAGUGACGGAUCUUGUAAGUUGUGAGUUCUUAAUGGAUUGAGCUUGCCGCGAAAAGGUUCCAAGAAAUAGCUCCAUCAUUAGACCGUACCCUAAACCGACACAGGUGGAUUAAUAGAGUAUAUUUAGGCGCUUGAGAGAAUGAUGUUGAAGGAACUCGGCAAAAUGCUUCCGUAACUUCGGAAUAAGGAAGACCUUUUAGUAGGCAACUAUUAGAGGGUGGCACAAGCCAGGGAGAAGCGACUGUUUAUCAAAAACACAGGGCUCUGCUAACACGUAAGUGGAUGUAUAGGGUCUGACGCCUGCCCGGUGCUGGAAGGUUAAUGCGAUGGGUGCAAGCUCAUUUCUGAAGCCCCAGUAAACGGCGGCCGUAACUAUAACGGUCCUAAGGUAGCGAAAUUCCUUGUCGGGUAAGUUCCGACCUGCAUGAAUGGCGUAACGAUUUCUCCGCUGUCUCCAACAUCAACUCAGUGAAAUUGAAUUCUCCGUGAAGAUGCGGAGUUCGCGUAGUUAGACGGAAAGACCCCGUGCACCUUUACUGCAACUUUACAUUGGUAUUAGGAAAAACAUAUUUAGCAUAGGAGGGAGACAUUGAAGCAAAGGCGUCAGCUUUUGUGGAGUCACCAGUGAAAUACCUCUUUUGUUUUUCUUGAUAUCUAACUGAUUGCCGUUAUCCGGCAUCAAGACAUUGUAUGGUGGGUAGUUUGACUGGGGCGGUCGCCUCCCAAAUAGUAACGGAGGCGUGCGAAGGUAAGCUCAGAACGGUCAGAAAUCGUUCGUAGAGUGCAAUGGCAUAAGCUUGCCUGACUGUGAGACUGACAAGUCGAGCAGAG
RNAcentral lists this ribosomal RNA (1853 nucleotides) under marine metagenome. RNAcentral describes it as "bacterial LSU rRNA". It matches the Rfam family "Bacterial large subunit ribosomal RNA", at positions 441 to 2398 of the family's 2925-position model. The record is from RNAcentral.